Molecule: ribosomal RNA, 1159 nt
Filed under: Staphylococcus aureus
Lineage: Bacteria; Bacillati; Bacillota; Bacilli; Caryophanales; Staphylococcaceae
Description: bacterial SSU rRNA
Rfam family: Bacterial small subunit ribosomal RNA
Source: RNAcentral
GCAAGUCGAGCGAACGGACGAGAAGCUUGCUUCUCUGAUGUUAGCGGCGGACGGGUGAGUAACACGUGGAUAACCUACCUAUAAGACUGGGAUAACUUCGGGAAACCGGAGCUAAUACCGGAUAAUAUUUUGAACCGCAUGGUUCAAAAGUGAAAGACGGUCUUGCUGUCACUUAUAGAUGGAUCCGCGCUGCAUUAGCUAGUUGGUAAGGUAACGGCUUACCAAGGCAACGAUGCAUAGCCGACCUGAGAGGGUGAUCGGCCACACUGGAACUGAGACACGGUCCAGACUCCUACGGGAGGCAGCAGUAGGGAAUCUUCCGCAAUGGGCGAAAGCCUGACGGAGCAACGCCGCGUGAGUGAUGAAGGUCUUCGGAUCGUAAAACUCUGUUAUUAGGGAAGAACAUAUGUGUAAGUAACUGUGCACAUCUUGACGGUACCUAAUCAGAAAGCCACGGCUAACUACGUGCCAGCAGCCGCGGUAAUACGUAGGUGGCAAGCGUUAUCCGGAAUUAUUGGGCGUAAAGCGCGCGUAGGCGGUUUUUUAAGUCUGAUGUGAAAGCCCACGGCUCAACCGUGGAGGGUCAUUGGAAACUGGAAAACUUGAGUGCAGAAGAGGAAAGUGGAAUUCCAUGUGUAGCGGUGAAAUGCGCAGAGAUAUGGAGGAACACCAGUGGCGAAGGCGACUUUCUGGUCUGUAACUGACGCUGAUGUGCGAAAGCGUGGGGAUCAAACAGGAUUAGAUACCCUGGUAGUCCACGCCGUAAACGAUGAGUGCUAAGUGUUAGGGGGUUUCCGCCCCUUAGUGCUGCAGCUAACGCAUUAAGCACUCCGCCUGGGGAGUACGACCGCAAGGUUGAAACUCAAAGGAAUUGACGGGGACCCGCACAAGCGGUGGAGCAUGUGGUUUAAUUCGAAGCAACGCGAAGAACCUUACCAAAUCUUGACAUCCUUUGACAACUCUAGAGAUAGAGCUUUCCCCUUCGGGGGACAAAGUGACAGGUGGUGCAUGGUUGUCGUCAGCUCGUGUCGUGAGAUGUUGGGUUAAGUCCCGCAACGAGCGCAACCCUUAAGCUUAGUUGCCAUCAUUAAGUUGGGCACUCUAAGUUGACUGCCGGUGACAAACCGGAGGAAGGUGGGGAUGACGUCAAAUCAUCAUG